This is a long non-coding RNA of Exaiptasia diaphana, 622 nucleotides long. RefSeq lists it as uncharacterized. The transcript has 3 exons. Lineage: Eukaryota; Metazoa; Cnidaria; Anthozoa; Actiniaria; Aiptasiidae. The record is from RefSeq and is a predicted model, not a curated record.
UCAAAAAUGGAAAUGUCUUCAAGAGAAUUAUAUUUUUAUCUAAAUCUGUAACAGAAUCCUGUCUCUUCAUUUAUGUUUGACACUGGCAUUUUAUCAAACCUAUUCAGCCAUACGUUAGAAUUGGAAGGAUUCGAAAGUGAACACCAUCGCACAAUGAGCUGAAGCUGAAUCGCUUGGACGCGUCUAUCACAAUGGUGUCUUGUUGUUAUUGAGUUGAAUUUAUACACUACUCUCGCAGUUGUAUGCCAGUUAAUAUAUAUUAAGCACUUAACUUCCAAAACAAACACAUCAACUUGCCAGCACUGCAAAGGAAUAAGAUGAAAAGAAGCAUAGCUUUCUUUGCCUUAAUGACGAUUACUUGUAUUCUUGAAAUAACAUUCAAUCACGCGCAAGAUAAAAGGAUCUCUACAUCUCAUAAUGGUACAGACGACUGUCCUCAGCCUCGAGUUGGCACGUGCUCAUGUACAUAUUGCCGAGGGAAACUAUGUCAAGUUCUUUGUUCCGGCCUCGAUGCCAUGCCUAGGAAGCUUUCUUUAACCGUCACUCACUUGGAAAUAACUCAAGGAUCAAUUCAACAAGUACCAAAGGAUUACUUCCUUAAUCAUACCUCCAUGUUUGUUUU